Molecule: ribosomal RNA, 203 nt
Filed under: uncultured bacterium
Lineage: Bacteria
Description: partial 16S ribosomal RNA
Rfam family: Bacterial small subunit ribosomal RNA
Source: RNAcentral
GCUCCCUCCGCCGCCCGACUCAGACUCCUACGGAGGGCAGCAGUGGGGAAUAGUUGCGCAAUGGGCGGAAGCCUGACGCAGCGACGCCGCGUGAGGGAUGACGGCCUUCGGGUUGUAAACCUCUUUCAGCUCUGACGAAGCGAGAGUGACGGUAGGAGCAGAAGAAGCACCGGCCAACUACGUGCCAGCAGCCGCGGUAAUUC